This 490-nucleotide ribosomal RNA is filed under the name uncultured Neisseria sp. Its description in RNAcentral is "bacterial SSU rRNA". It matches the Rfam family "Bacterial small subunit ribosomal RNA", at positions 30 to 508 of the family's 1533-position model. Lineage: Bacteria; Pseudomonadati; Pseudomonadota; Betaproteobacteria; Neisseriales; Neisseriaceae. The record is from RNAcentral.
AUUGAACGCUGGCGGCAUGCUUUACACAUGCAAGUCGGACGGCAGCACAGAGAAGCUUGCUUCUUGGGUGGCGAGUGGCGAACGGGUGAGAAACAUAUCGGAACGUACCGAGUAGUGGGGGAUAACUGGUCGAAAGAUCAGCUAAUACCGCAUACGUCUUGAGAGGGAAAGCAGGGGACCUUCGGGCCUUGCGCUAUUCGAGCGGCCGUUAUCUGAUUAGCUAGUUGGUGGGGUAAAGGCCUACCAAGGCGACGAUCAGUAGCGGGACUGAGAGGAUGAUCCGCACACUGGGACUGAGACACGGCCCAGACUCCUACGGGAGGCAGCAGUGGGGAAUUUUGGACAAUGGGCGCAAGUCUGAUCCAGCCAUGCCGCGUGUCUGAAGAAGGCCUUCGGGUUGUAAAGGACUUUUGUCAGGGAAGAAAAGGCUGUUGCUAAUAUCAGCGGCCGACGACGGUACCUGAAGAAUAAGCACCGGCUAACUACGUGC